CGGUCCUGAGUAAAGUGGCGCACGGUGAGUAACGCGUAGAUAACCUGUCUUCAUGUCUGGAAUAAUACGCCAAAGGGGUACUAAUACCGGAUAGUUCUUGCUUUUCAUAAGUUAUGCAAGCAAAGGUGGCCUCUGCAUAUGCUACUGCAUGAAGAGGGGUCUGCGUACCAUUAGCUAGUAGGUGGGGUAAUGGCCUACCUAGGCGACGAUGGUUAGCGGGUCUGAGAGGAUGAUCCGCCACACUGGCACUGGAACACGGGCCAGACUCCUACGGGAGGCAGCAGUGAGGAAUAUUGCGCAAUGGGGGAAACCCUGACGCAGCGACGCCGCGUGAGUGAGGAAGGCCUUCGGGUCGUAAAGCUCUGUCAAGAGGAAAGAAGUGUACAAUGGCUAAUACCUGUUGUAUUUGAACGGUACCUCUAAAGGAAGCACCGGCUAACUCCGUGCCAGCAGCCGC
Molecule: ribosomal RNA, 457 nt
Filed under: uncultured bacterium
Lineage: Bacteria
Description: bacterial SSU rRNA
Rfam family: Bacterial small subunit ribosomal RNA
Source: RNAcentral